AAAGGACAACAUUAAAUUGCGAAUGCCAAUGACACCCCAAGGUGAAAAAGUUACAAACAUGUCUAGAAUACACGCUGCAGGGGAAGAAGCAACCACAUAAAUGAAACUUCAUAAAGAAUGUAGAAAACAGCCCUGCACCGCUGACAGCACAGAGUGACAUCUAAGGAUUGAACAUGUGGAGCCCGGCAUGCUAGGACCAUUACCAAUCAUUUCUACUGUGUCAUUAUUCAAGGCUGUCUCUAGUUC
This 246-nucleotide long non-coding RNA is filed under the name Homo sapiens (human). RNAcentral's name for it is "HSALNT0147283". The record is from RNAcentral. Lineage: Eukaryota; Metazoa; Chordata; Mammalia; Primates; Hominidae.